RNAcentral lists this unclassified non-coding RNA (217 nucleotides) under uncultured Sporisorium. Its description in RNAcentral is "sequence contains ITS1". Lineage: Eukaryota; Fungi; Basidiomycota; Ustilaginomycetes; Ustilaginales; Ustilaginaceae. The record is from RNAcentral.
CGAUGAAAAACCUUUUUUUCUGAGGUGCGGCCCGCACCUGUCCAACUAAACUAGGGCUACCUUUUUUCAACACGGUUGCAUCGGUUGGGCUUGUCGAAAGGCGCCUUUGUGCGUCGGGCGACAACCUAACACCUUUACAAACACUUUUGAUGAUCUAGGAUUUGGAAGAAUUUAUUAUUUUUACGGCUGGUAAUGCGGUCGUCUAAAAAUCUUAAAA